Molecule: ribosomal RNA, 539 nt
Filed under: uncultured bacterium
Lineage: Bacteria
Description: bacterial SSU rRNA
Rfam family: Bacterial small subunit ribosomal RNA
Source: RNAcentral
AUGGGCGCAGCCUGACCAGCCAUGCCGCGUGGGCGAAGAAGGCCUUCGGGUUGUAAAGCACUUUCGGCCGGAACGAAAUCGCCUUCGUUAAUAGCGAGGGUGGAUGACGGUACCGGAAGAUGAUGCACCGGCUAACUACGUGCCAGCAGCCGCGGUAAUACGUAGGGUGCGAGCGUUAAUCGGAAUUACUGGGCGUAAAGGGUGCGCAGGCGGCGUCGCAAGUCAGGCGUGAAAUCCCCGGGCUUAACCUGGGAAUGGCACUUGAAACUACGAUGCUGGAGUAUGGCAGAGGGAGGUGGAAUUCCACGUGUAGCGGUGAAAUGCGUAGAGAUGUGGAGGAACACCGAUGGCGAAGGCAGCCUCCUGGGCCAAUACUGACGCUCAUGCACGAAAGCGUGGGGAGCAAACAGGAUUAGAUACCCUGGUAGUCCACGCCCUAAACGAUAAUGACUAGUUGUUGGAGGAGUUAAAUCCUUUAGUAACGCAGCUAACGCGAGAAGUCAUCCGCCUGGGGAGUACGGUCGCAAGAUUAAAACUCA